UUUUGUGCAUUUAGGAACACUUAUGAAGUAUCUCACGAACACCGCAUGCACAAUGAAUAUGGUUUUGUAUCGCUUCUUAGUGUUCUUUGUCAUUUCCAACCGCAUCCUCCAGAAGGUAAAACAAGUCCUGCUCAGCCUGUAGAAAGAAGAUUGGAAAGUGUUUGAUGGAAAUUACCAGAGCCUGCUGCCUCUCAGCUGCUGCCUGACUUUGAGUGUCAAGCAAUCAGAAAUACCAAGACGUGUGGCAUUUCUUCAGGGUGGUGAAGGGCAGUUUUGUUCACUUCUGACAGGUCAUGGUAGUUUACAGACAAGCAGCAGCAGAUGAAUUGUGAAGAGAUGGUGAGGAUUUUCAUGAUGCACUGAAGCAUUCAGAAUUUUAAAAGUCCUGGUGAACUCUAAGCUGCCCGAGUCAACGUGAGCUUUGUUACUGACCUCAGUGAACUCAGUACUUCACUGUCGUGUACGUUUGCUGCCUAUAAGGCAGGUAAAUACUUCUUUGCCUGUGUGAUCUCUUAGUAAGGCUUCACAGAGCAGAUAUGUUCUCUGUAGCAGAUAACUUGGGGAAUGUGUGUUGUCUUCAGUCAGGAACAUGCUUUUCCUGUUGCAAAGUCUCUGGAUGUAACAUCAAGAGCUGGAGGAGAGUGGAUUUGUGACCUUUGAAGAAGCUCCUCUAGAUUCUUUUUGUUUCUCUUUAGUGUGAUACAGCACUAUUUAAAUUCUUUUUUCUCUCUUGUUUUUGCCAUUUGCUCCUUUCUUUCAAGCACUUAGAACCUGUUUUUGCUCUUGCUGGUGGGUGUAAGUUUUCAUUUCAGCAUAUUACUGGAUUUUGUUGUUCUGUUGCAGAAGCCAAGCUGUCUCCCAGCAUCUCCUUUUUUCAUUAGGCUGUGGCAGGUCUUUCUUACACUGAUGAUCUUAUUAAAAACUUAGUUAUCUAUUAAUUUCCUCUUCACUAUCUUGGGGUAUUUGCCUGGACUUUGAAAUGAUCAGUCAUACCUUUUUCAUAUUGCCUUGCUUUUUUUGUUCUCUUGUGUCACUAUGGAAAGCCAUGGAGGUGGUACAGGACUCGCUUUUGGAAACUGAUGUUUCCAACCCAUUUAUUUGUAUGAUUUUUUUUUUCUAGAUGAUCUUUUCUGCUUUUCUAAAUUAAAACUGCUAACAUGAAG
Cygnus olor (mute swan) is the source of this 1163-nucleotide long non-coding RNA. RefSeq lists it as uncharacterized. Lineage: Eukaryota; Metazoa; Chordata; Aves; Anseriformes; Anatidae. The record is from RefSeq and is a predicted model, not a curated record. The transcript is spliced from 4 exons.